AGGGUUCUCUGCGUCUGGAGAACACAGGACGUCCACAGGAAAGUUCUCCCUCCUGCACUCCCGGCUGGCUCUGAAAAUUAUGAACUCUCUUUUCCUUAAAAUAAAGGCUCUAAAAUUGUGUGAUUCCACCUCCCUGAGGCUAAGCGAAAGAGCCGCGUCUGCCCCUGUCCUUCCCGGGGGCUGGCAGGGAGUGGGUGCCCGGCGGUGACUCAGCCCUGCAGCCUCCCAGCCCUUCCCCGUAUGCGGGCAGGUGAUGCGGACGCCUCCGACCCUCGUGGGGUUUGUGGAGAGCGUUGAUCAGCGCUGCCGUCAGAACAGGACCUGUGCGAGGCCUCGCAGAUGCCGGGAGCCGGGCGGUGCUCUCGGUGCUUCUCAUCAAAUCCACUGGCUCUUCGAGAGGAAGCACAUGUCACAGCCCAGCUCAAACAAGAAGCAAGAAAAUCACUCUUCAUUUUGGAAUUGUAAAAUAAAGUAGAAAUUAUCCUCAGGCUAGAGUGACCUUCCCGUCCUGCCCCAGCCACCCCCCACCUCCCAGCACCUGCCGGUAACAGCCCUGCACACAGCCCCGAGACCCUCCGCCAAACCCAGCCCACCACCCCCGGGAGGGCUGUGGAAGAGGCUAGAGAGCGCAUCCCCUCUGGCUCCUGGGGUGGAGGCCUGCUGUGGGUUGGCUGGAAUCAGCCCCCCUCCCCCGUGUCCUGGGCCCCUGCAGCCCUGCGAGGCGGACACCUAGCCACCCCUCAUCCCAGGGAAGCCAGGGCCAGGGAAGGGCCCAGGAGGGGAGGGUUCGCCCUUCCUGCUGGAUGUCGUUCCUUUAAAAAUCCCUGCCGCUGGCCGGGCGUGGUGGCUCACGCCUGGAAUCCCAGCACUUU
RNAcentral lists this long non-coding RNA (872 nucleotides) under Homo sapiens (human). RNAcentral describes it as "HSALNT0156918". Lineage: Eukaryota; Metazoa; Chordata; Mammalia; Primates; Hominidae. The record is from RNAcentral.